GUGGAAACCCACUAUACUCUCAGGAUAAAGC
This 31-nucleotide non-coding RNA is filed under the name Homo sapiens (human). Lineage: Eukaryota; Metazoa; Chordata; Mammalia; Primates; Hominidae. The record is from RNAcentral.